RNAcentral lists this ribosomal RNA (253 nucleotides) under uncultured bacterium. Its description in RNAcentral is "partial 16S ribosomal RNA". It matches the Rfam family "Bacterial small subunit ribosomal RNA", at positions 524 to 776 of the family's 1533-position model. The record is from RNAcentral.
GACGGAGGGCGCAAGCGUUGUUCGGAAUUACUGGGCGUAAAGCGCGCGCAGGCGGAUGAGACAGUCAGGGGUGAAAGCCUGGGGCUCAACCCCGGGAUGUCUCCUGAUACUGCUUGUCUAGGGACCGGUAGGGGCUGGUGGAAUUCCCGGUGUAGCGGUGGAAUGCGUAGAUAUCGGGAAGAACAUCGGUGGCGAAGGCGGCCAGCUGGACCGGAUCCGACGCUGAGGCGCGAAAGCGUGAGGAGCAAACAGG